GAAAUGCGAUAAGUAGUGUGAAUUGCAGAAUUCAGUGAAUCAUCGAAUCUUUGAACGCACAUUGCGCCCGCCAGCACUCUGGCGGGCAUGCCUGUUCGAGCGUCAUUUCAACCCUCAGAACCCCUUGCGGGAUCUGGCGUUGGGGAUUGGCAUCCAGCCAGCCCCGAAAUCUAGUGGCGGUCCCUCCGCGACCUCCCCUGUGCAGUAGCGAUACCUCGCAGCGGGACAGCGGUCUGACCACGCCGUAAAACCCCCAACUUCUCAAGGUUGACCUCGAAUCAGGUAGGAAUACCCGCUGAACUUAAGC
Molecule: unclassified non-coding RNA, 307 nt
Filed under: plant metagenome
Description: partial contains 5.8S ribosomal RNA, internal transcribed spacer 2, and large subunit ribosomal RNA
Rfam family: 5.8S ribosomal RNA (bases 1-105)
Source: RNAcentral